ACACUAUUUCAUGCACUUGAAAGAAAAUGUUCAUUCUUUCCAAGUAUUCACGGGAACACUCCCCCAUGAUAAAGGGCUCUAUGUCACCGAUUAACGACUUGUUUUUUUUCUUCUGAUUUCAGACUCGCCAUUUAUACGCAGGCCGAAUUUUCCUCGUUGCCAAAAGUGGUGUUCUUCAAAUGCACUCGCCAUUUAUACGCAGGCCGAAUUUUCCUCGUUGCCAAAAGUGGUGUUCUUCAAAUGCGUGAGUACACUUUGACCUCUCGUUUAUAUCUGUAUUUCGCUCUGAUAAUCUAUCUACGCAUACAUCUCCAUUUAAUACUAAUACAUCCACUACUAAUCGUAACACUUAUACUAUUAAAAACACUCUGCGUAAAUUUUAAGAUUUUGCAAAUUUUCUCUUGUUUUUGCAUUUGCAAUGAAACGAAAUGAUGCACUAACGGCUCCUGUUUCAGAUUUUAAAUGUUUUUAUAACAACAAAGCUUUUUCUAAAUAUUUUUCAUGUUCAAUGGUAUCCGCUUGUCACUAGAUCUUCCAUAAUUGUCGACACUACUAGAGACAUAAUUGUCGACAAAUGUUUUUGCGAUGGUAGCUGCUGACAUAUCUGCCAUUGGGUAACGCUCUGGCCAUCUUGUAAAUCUAUCCACUAUUGUGAGUAGGUAACACAUGUCUACCGGAGGACCAACGAUGUCUAGGUGGAUUUGGUCAAACCUGCCUUUCGGAAUAUCAAAAGUUUCCAAUGGCGAGUGAGUAUGGCGUGCUAUUUUGGCCUUUUGGUGUCCAUUCUCCCACGUCCUUGUUCAUGAAUGGCCAGAAAUAACGAUCGGUCAUAAGCUUUCUAGUAGCCCGAAUGCCAGGAUGUGAGUUAUUGUGGAUCCCUUGCAACCAUGUAAGUUCAUGGUGAAAUCUUGCACGUGUGGUAUAGGGUAUCGAUCGGGUGUGGUUAUUGCGUUCAGUCGUCGAUAAUCCCCACAUGGUCGCCAGUGGUAGUGUGAAACCGACCGGUGUGUUGUAGUCAGGGCGCUCUAUCAAUGAUGGGUAUUGUCUUAAAACCUCACCGAACUCAAUUGCUUCCAUAGAAAAAUGUUUUGGUGCGGGAGUGUCCACUGUCGCAAUAGUAGUCUUUGACACCAGAUUUGUAGUUGGAACAAUUAGGCGCCGCUCCUUAAGAUCAACUAACAAACCGUGUUUGUGAAUAAAGUCAGCUCCUAUCAUCAACGAUUCACAGCUGCUAUAACGAAAGUAUAAGAGAAAGACCGCCUCAAUCCAAGAGACACCUGUAUUAACUUGGUGCCAUACGUAGAAAUGGUACUAUCGUUGGCUGCAGCUAAUACGUGGUCAGUUGGUUUGGCUACAGUGCCUACUAAAUUUUGUAGAAUGACGGAUACGUCAGCUCCGGUAUCUAUAUGGAAUGUGAAUCUCAUCAUUGAUGAAGAGACGAGGUGAAGAGCUUAAAAUUGCUCGUGGGCUAUCCCUCAAUGCUUCGGAGCAAAUUUGUUGUUUUGAAGAGAUAAAUUGUUCCCACCCUGCGUUGAAUUAAAAUAGCAAGGAAUGAUAGACUUGUUCGCGUUCCGUCAUAGCGGGCGUUCUCCCUGUUGUGAGGGUGUGUUGCUCGUAUAUUGCGAUUCCCCUGCGCUGAUUAUUAGAAUUGACAGCCAUUUGGCGAAUCAUGUUUCGUAGCUCCGAUAUUUCUUAACGAAUAUCGUCAGUCGAGUAGUUUUGAGAAAAAUGCUUUGGUGCAUUCCAUUGCGGAAUCGCUACCUGUAUUGGUGCAUUCCCAGAGUGUAUUGUAUUGGAGUGCAUUAGCUAAGGUUUGUUUAGGAAGAGCGCCUAUUAGGUACGAGUAUCGGGUGCGCUCCCUUGUAAUUUGAGAUACCUCAAACUCAGCCUCCGCCUGAGCAAGCCACAUUUCAGGCAUAUCAUACCAGAAUGGGGGUAGUUUGGCGGAAAUGCGCUCCACCUGCGGCACUAGUGUGGGUUUCUCUGCCAUGCUGGCACUGGGCCUCUCAACUUCCCGUUCUAAUGACAUUUUAAACAAUUCAAAUUGAAUGUGUUUGUAAGUCAAGAUAAAAAUUUUACGCAAAAUAAUAUAAUAAAAAUUUAGGCGAAAUAAAGUAUAAAGGAAAUACGAUAGUGGAAAAAAAACAUACCCGAAAAUGAAAUUGAACAAUUUAGAUAAAAUAAAAGAUCAAACUGCUAAUCCUAGCACUUCCUUAAUCCUCAUAGUCUAAUAAUAUAAUGAUAUCAUACUAUGAUUGGAUCGAAAGAUUGUAAAGUGUGUGAAGAAAAAAAAAUAAACAGAGUAAAAGGAA
Anopheles stephensi (Asian malaria mosquito) is the source of this 2312-nucleotide long non-coding RNA. RefSeq lists it as uncharacterized. Lineage: Eukaryota; Metazoa; Arthropoda; Insecta; Diptera; Culicidae. The transcript is spliced from 2 exons. The record is from RefSeq and is a predicted model, not a curated record.